GGCCGUAGCUCCAUGGUAGAGCAUCUGCUUUGCAUGCAGAAGGUCCUGUGUUCGAUCCCCAGGUAGGCCU
This 70-nucleotide transfer RNA is filed under the name Podarcis lilfordi (Lilford's wall lizard). RNAcentral describes it as "tRNA.Ala". It matches the Rfam family "tRNA". Rfam says of the family: Transfer RNA (tRNA) molecules are approximately 80 nucleotides in length. Their secondary structure includes four short double-helical elements and three loops (D, anti-codon, and T loops). Further hydrogen bonds mediate the characteristic L-shaped molecular structure. tRNAs have two regions of fundamental functional importance: the anti-codon, which is responsible for specific mRNA codon recognition, and the 3' end, to which the tRNAs corresponding amino acid is attached (by aminoacyl-tRNA synthetases). tRNAs cope with the degeneracy of the genetic code in two manners: having more than one tRNA (with a specific anti-codon) for a particular amino acid; and 'wobble' base-pairing, i.e. permitting non-standard base-pairing at the 3rd anti-codon position. Lineage: Eukaryota; Metazoa; Chordata; Lepidosauria; Squamata; Lacertidae. The record is from RNAcentral.